RNAcentral lists this ribosomal RNA (500 nucleotides) under uncultured microorganism. RNAcentral's name for it is "bacterial SSU rRNA". It matches the Rfam family "Archaeal small subunit ribosomal RNA", at positions 234 to 734 of the family's 1478-position model. The record is from RNAcentral.
AGUGGGUGUAAUGUACCUACUAGCCGACGACGGAUACGGGUUGUGGGAGCAAGAGCCCGGAGAUGGAUUCUGAGACAUGAAUCCAGGCCCUACGGGGCGCAGCAGGCGCGAAAACUUUACAAUGCGGGAAACCGCGAUAAGGGGACACCGAGUGCCAGCAUCUUAUGUUGGCUGUCCGCAUGUAUAAAUCACAUGUGUUAGCAAGGGCCGGGCAAGACCGGUGCCAGCCGCCGCGGUAACACCGGCGGCCCGAGUGGUGGCCACUAUUAUUGGGUCUAAAGGGUCCGUAGCCGGUUUGGUCAGUCUUCCGGGAAAUCCGACGGCUUAACCGUUAGGCUUUCGGGGGAUACUACCAGGCUUGGGACCGGGAGAGGUAAGAGGUACUACGGGGGUAGGAGUGAAAUCUUGUAAUCCUCGUGGGACCACCAGUGGCGAAGGCGUCUUACCAGAACGGGUCCGACGGUGAGGGACGAAAGCUGGGGGCACGAACCGGAUUAGAU